AUGGGUKUGUAAACUGCUUUUAUACAGGAAGAAACACUCCCUCGUGAGGGAGCUUGACGGUACUGUAAGAAUAAGGACCGGCUAACUCCGUGCCAGCAGCCGCGGUAAUACGGAGGGUCCGAGCGUUAUCCGGAAUCAUUGGGUUUAAAGGGUCCGUAGGCGGGCAGCUAAGUCAGUGGUGAAAGUUUGCAGCUCAACUGUAAAAUUGCCAUUGAAACUGGUUGUCUUGAAUCGUUGUGAAGUGGUUAGAAUAAGUAGUGUAGCGGUGAAAUGCAUAGAUAUUACUUAGAAUACCGAUNGCGAAGGCAGAUCACUAACAACGUAUUGACGCUGAGGGACGAAAGCGUGGGGAGCGAACAGGAUUAGAU
This 368-nucleotide ribosomal RNA is filed under the name uncultured bacterium. RNAcentral describes it as "bacterial SSU rRNA". It matches the Rfam family "Bacterial small subunit ribosomal RNA", at positions 417 to 783 of the family's 1533-position model. The record is from RNAcentral.